CAGCCGCCGCGGGAAUACAGAGGGUGCGAGCGUUAAUCGGAUUUACUGGGCGUAAAGCGCACGUAGGCGGACAUUUAAGUCAGGGGUGAAAUCCCGGGGCUCAACCCCGGAACUGCCUUUGAUACUGGGUGUCUAGAGUAUGGAAGAGGUGAGUGGAAUUCCGAGUGUAGAGGUGAAAUUCGUAGAUAUUCGGAGGAACACCAGUGGCGAAGGCGGCUCACUGGUCCAUUACUGACGCUGAGGUGCGAAAGCGUGGGGAGCAAACAGGAUUAGAUACCCCAGUAGUCCCUGUCUCUUAUAC
RNAcentral lists this ribosomal RNA (301 nucleotides) under uncultured bacterium. Its description in RNAcentral is "partial 16S ribosomal RNA". It matches the Rfam family "Bacterial small subunit ribosomal RNA", at positions 509 to 807 of the family's 1533-position model. The record is from RNAcentral.